RNAcentral lists this ribosomal RNA (468 nucleotides) under uncultured bacterium. RNAcentral's name for it is "partial 16S ribosomal RNA". It matches the Rfam family "Bacterial small subunit ribosomal RNA", at positions 28 to 507 of the family's 1533-position model. The record is from RNAcentral.
GACGAACGCUGGCGGCGUGCUUAACACAUGCAAGUCGAACGGAAAGGCCCUGCUUUUGUGGGGUGCUCGAGUGGCGAACGGGUGAGUAACACGUGAGUAACCUGCCCUUGACUUUGGGAUAACUUCAGGAAACUGGGGCUAAUACCGGAUAGGAGCUCCUGCUGCAUGGUGGGGGUUGGAAAGUUUCGGCGGUUGGGGAUGGACUCGCGGCUUAUCAGCUUGUUGGUGGGGUAGUGGCUUACCAAGGCUUUGACGGGUAGCCGGCCUGAGAGGGUGACCGGCCACAUUGGGACUGAGAUACGGCCCAGACUCCUGCGGGUGGCAGCAGUGGGGAAUAUUGCACAAUGGGCGGAAGCCUGAUGCAGCAACGCCGCGUGCGGGAUGACGGCCUUCGGGUUGUAAACCGCUUUCGCCUGUGACGAAGCGUGAGUGACGGUAAUGGGUAAAGAAGCACCGGCUAACCACGUG